RNAcentral lists this ribosomal RNA (1122 nucleotides) under Triticum aestivum (bread wheat). Its description in RNAcentral is "partial small subunit ribosomal RNA". Lineage: Eukaryota; Viridiplantae; Streptophyta; Magnoliopsida; Poales; Poaceae. The record is from RNAcentral.
AUGACUACCUGCUUCUCCGACAUUAUUAAAGAUCAUUCCCUCGAUUUUAUAGGAUUGCAGGAAACCAGGAAGAAAGAGAUUCUUCCUAAGUUCUUACGAAAAAUUGACCCCUCAGAUAGAUUUGCUUGGAACUGGGUGCCUUCCAUUGGCAAAUCCGGUGGCAUCCUUUGUGGCAUCAAAAAAGAAAGUCUGGAAGUUGUUUCCUGGACAGUGGGCAAAUUCUGCUUGCAAGCUACCCUUUUUGAUAUAAACCUCAAAUGUGUGUGGGCCCUUAUAACUAUCUAUGGAGCGGCACAGGAUGACAAGAAAGAGGAAUUCCUUUGUGAGCUUGCAUCCAUGUGUUCUCACCUCCAAGUUCCUUACAUUGUGGGAGGGGAUUUCAACAUUCUUCGUGAAAGUUGUGAGAAAAAUAAGACUUUAAACCGAUCCCCUUACAUGGAUAAAUUUAAUUCCAUCAUUCAAUCUCUGAACCUUCAUGAGAUACAUAUGGGAGGGGGCAAAUACACCUAGUCCAACCACCAGAGACAUCCUACUUUAGAAAAGCUUGAUAGAGUUCUUAUAAGUUUUGAGUGGGAGGACCUUUUUCCCCUGGUCACAGUCCGGAAAUUGGUACGGGACGUGUCUGACCACAACCCUCUGCUACUGUCAUCGAAUUCAACUAUAGAGAGACCCACGCGACAACGUGAGUUCAGAUUUGAACUCAGUUGGCUUAAGAACGAAGAGUUUUAUCCCACUGUUAAGAAGAUAUGGGAGCAGCCAAUUGCUUUUGAUGACCCCAUUGACAUCCUUAAUAUCAAGCUCAAAAGGCUAAAAAAAUAUUUCAAAGGUUGGGGCUCCCAUUUGUUUGGCCAUGCUAAGAAAAGGAAAAAAGAUAUUCAAAAGGAGUUGGAAGAGAUUGAAACCAUAGAAGAAGAGGGCCCCCUUGAACCGGAGACUUAUGAAAAAAGAACAACCUUGCGAAUGGAACUCGAUGACAUCCUAGCUAAUGAGGAACUCUUCUCGCUCCAGCAAUCCUAUGAGAGGUGGUUGUUGAAGGGAGAGCAGAAUAAAGCCUUUUUCAAUCGCGCAGCCAAUGGCAAAAAAAAAACACAAUCCACUCCUUCGCGGAUGGAGAGACGGUGA